This is a long non-coding RNA of Melanotaenia boesemani (Boeseman's rainbowfish), 190 nucleotides long. RefSeq lists it as uncharacterized. The transcript is spliced from 3 exons. The record is from RefSeq and is a predicted model, not a curated record. Lineage: Eukaryota; Metazoa; Chordata; Actinopteri; Atheriniformes; Melanotaeniidae.
AAGGAGAGCUCCGCAGCAAGCUCUGAUGGUGUGAGAAUUAUAUGAUACCCAGAAAAUACUUGUGGAGCGAGAAGGACUGUGUCUUGUCACUCAGAAACCAUCAGGAGCAGUUAAUGCAAACAUGAACAGGCUGAUCAUCUUUUUGCUGUCGUUAGUUGGACAUGCUCUCAGCUUUCCAGUCACAACAGGU